This 352-nucleotide ribosomal RNA is filed under the name uncultured bacterium. Its description in RNAcentral is "bacterial SSU rRNA". It matches the Rfam family "Bacterial small subunit ribosomal RNA", at positions 917 to 1264 of the family's 1533-position model. The record is from RNAcentral.
GGACCCGCACAAGCAGUGGAGCAUGUGGUUUAAUUCGAAGAUACGCGCAGAACCUUACCAACGCUUGACAUGUUCGUCGCGACUCUAAGAGAUUAGAGUCUUCGGUUCGGCCGGACGAAACACAGGUGCUGCAUGGCUGUCGUCAGCUCGUGUCGUGAGAUGUUGGGUUAAGUCCCGCAACGAGCGCAACCCUCACUUUUAGUUGCCAUCAUUAAGUUGGGCACUCUGAAAAGAACUGCCAGUGAUAAGCUGGAGGAAGGUGGGGAUGACGUCAAGUCCUCAUGGCCCUUACGUGUUGGGCUACACACGUGCUACAAUGGUAUCUACAACAGGAAGCAAAAACGGCGACGUU